Non-coding RNA from Petromyzon marinus (sea lamprey), 944 nucleotides. Lineage: Eukaryota; Metazoa; Chordata; Hyperoartia; Petromyzontiformes; Petromyzontidae. The record is from RefSeq and is a predicted model, not a curated record.
CCAAUUAUAUAUAUAAAAAAAAGAAUGUUCGUCAUUUAUUUUUUUAUUGCAGGAAACCGGAGAACCCUGGGGAACCUCCACCAAGGCAUACGAGAGCCCAGAGCCUGAGUCCCCCCCCGGGGGGCUGUGGACCCCAGUAGCAGUUGCAGCGCCUGCACACGCGAUAUCUACCCAAAUACACGAGGACACUCAGGAGACCACGCGCGGGCCGACUGCUGGGGCGCGGGGUGGAGGCCCACGUGUGUUAAAUGGAACUCGUCACCACGGCCUGUGCGAGACGCCGCGGAGACGCGACGAUGAUGAUGAUGAUGCGGGCUCAGUGAGGUGGCCAUGAAAUGAGACGAUCGGCUACUUCGAGUGGCACCCGACUUCGCCAAACCGUCGUUGUUGCUGUUGUUGCUGUUGUUGUUGCUGCUGCUGUCGUUGUUAAAUGAGGGCUAAAGCGAGUUACUGCGUUUCUCAAAGCGUUGCAUCUCUUCCUCUUCUUCGUCUUCUUCUCCGGUUGUGCUAUCGGUGUCAUGGCACGAGACGAAUAACGGCGAGAACCUCCUGUGUUGGGAUAAAAUGCCCGCGUAAGGCGAUGUCACAGAAACACGGCCGAGUCCCCCUGCAAGACGACACCUCGCGCACACUAGGGGGCGCCGCACUCUCCAAUGCGCCCUGCUACGGAGCAGAUCGAUGGAUCGAUAUUCCUUCCGUGGAAGACGAACCAAAUGGUAACUGCUUUAUUCUGUGAAGUAACAAAAAAACCAAACAACCCCAAUGUGUAAAUCGUUGUUUGCGGUAAUGACUGACCGUCAAAACUCGCUCGACUUGAGAAACUCUGUUUAACCCGGGGACGACUGAGAUUCGGGAUUCGAGCCGACGAUCUCAGCGGCUCUGUGGUCUCUCGAACAGCCAGAGCCGGAGCCACCUCAGAGUUGAUGCUUUUUGUUGUUGUUGUU